This 434-nucleotide ribosomal RNA is filed under the name uncultured bacterium. RNAcentral describes it as "bacterial SSU rRNA". It matches the Rfam family "Bacterial small subunit ribosomal RNA", at positions 960 to 1392 of the family's 1533-position model. The record is from RNAcentral.
CGCGAAGAACCUUACCUGGCCUUGACAUGUCCGGAAUCCUGCAGAGAUGCGGGAGUGCCUUCGGGAAUCGGAACACAGGUGCUGCAUGGCUGUCGCCAGCUCGUGUCGUGAGAUGUUGGGUUAAGUCCCGCAACGAGCGCAACCCUUGUCCUUAGUUGCCAGCGAGUAAUGUCGGGAACUCUAAGGAGACUGCCGGUGACAAACCGGAGGAAGGUGGGGAUGACGUCAAGUCAUCAUGGCCCUUACGGCCAGGGCUACACACGUACUACAAUGGUCGGUACAGAGUGUUGCGAGACCGCGAGGUGGAGCCAAUCCCAGAAAGCCGAUCUCAGUCCGGAUCGGAGUCUGCAACUCGACUCCGUGAAGUCGGAAUCGCUAGUAAUCGCGAAUCAGCAUUGUCGCGGUGAAUACGUUCCCGGGCCUUGUACACACCG